This 119-nucleotide ribosomal RNA is filed under the name Pteropus alecto (black flying fox). Lineage: Eukaryota; Metazoa; Chordata; Mammalia; Chiroptera; Pteropodidae. The record is from RNAcentral.
GUCUAUGGCCAUGCUACCCUGAACAAGCCCAAUCCCAUCUGAUCUUGGAAGCUAAGCAGGGUUGGGCCUGGUUAGUACUUGGAUGGGAGACCACCUAGGAAGACCAGGUGCUAUAGGUG